RNAcentral lists this ribosomal RNA (119 nucleotides) under Setaria viridis. The record is from RNAcentral. Lineage: Eukaryota; Viridiplantae; Streptophyta; Magnoliopsida; Poales; Poaceae. RNAcentral also lists the same sequence under 5 other names.
GGAUGCGAUCAUACCAGCACUAAAGCACCAGAUCCCAUCAGAACUCCGAAGUUAAGCGUGCUUGGGCGAGAGUAGUACUAGGAUGGGUGACCUCCUGGGAAGUCCUCGUGUUGCAUUCC